This is a long non-coding RNA of Myotis myotis, 1863 nucleotides long. RefSeq lists it as uncharacterized. The transcript has 3 exons. The record is from RefSeq and is a predicted model, not a curated record. NCBI's taxonomy places the organism in Eukaryota, Metazoa, Chordata, Mammalia, Chiroptera, Vespertilionidae.
ACAAUUUAAGGGGGAAAGUGCUAAGCAUCAUUAAGUAAUCACUUCAGUAAAAGCUGUAGAAAGGGGAACAGGAACACGGGUUCCUGCCUUCCUUAUCACUUACAUGGUCCAACAGGGAACAAGAGAGCUCUUGUAAUAGUUAACGCUUGAAUGCUUUCCUUGUGCCUCCGCGUUCCACGUGUUAAGUCUCAAGUAACACCCCCCAACCCCGUGUCCUCCAGCAGCGUUACCUGCUCCACACUGGAGGACACAGGCGCGGAGCUUACGUAACCCGUUACCCCUGAGAGGCAGGUUCGGCACCGCGCUCCACCGGACAGAAUCGGAAAAACCAGAUGAAUCCCAAGAACAACCUGGUGAUUUCCCCGAGGGAACGGACGAGUUUGGAGGAGUGAUGGGUUCAAGGUACAGAAGGGGCAGAGGCAAGGGUCUGCUGACGAGAAGGCUGCAGAAGUUGGCACAGGAGUUUGAAAAACCAAAAGGCGCUUCUCGGGGCUGCAUUACUCAGCGGCGAUUAGGAAAGCAGGCGGGAAAGAGCCGGUGAAUGACACCUGCGGAGCCCCCGGAUCCCGGGGACCCAGGAACCGGUCGGAAAUGACAUCAAUAGAGAGGCUGGGCGCUCAGCGGUACAGCGGCCUGCGGACCACCGGCCGGAAGUGAGGCAGCGGAAGUCCCGCCCCGGAGGCGGUGCCGGGUGUGAGGGGCGUCGCGAUGGGCGGGGAGGAGCUUCGCGGGUCCUCCAGGAACCCUGGAUCCCCGACAGUUUUGCAGAACACUGGUCUCCAUGGACUCUAACAUGGACUUCAUUUAAAGAAAUCCACGGACCAUUAACGGACAAAAACAUGAGUCAUUUUGUAUUGUGGCAUUCAAAUCCUAGUACUUUGGGAAAGCAUCAAGUACAAGUUUUUGAAGACCCUGAGGCCUACCAUCAUUAUGCAUUCAAGAUUUCAGUUUGAAUAACUUCAUCAAGACUUAGAUCCUCUUCAAAAGUCUCAAGUUUCAUCUGCAUUAAAGCUCUCCAUUGAACUCUGUCACAAAAUUAAAAGUGUGAAGGGACUAAAAUCCAUUAGUACAUUCCAUUGUACACCCUUUUCUCUGAUCGCUCCAAUUCCCUUCACUGUAGGGUCUUUCAUAUUGCUUAUGUUCCUUUGCCUAGAGCCAAGGAAACAGUGCUUUCCGGGAGAAUAUAUAUCCUGUGAUCAUAAAUUUUCAUUGCUAGAGAAGUAUAAACUUGGCAGGAUCAGUUUAGAAUCACAUCUUUUGUUGUGGCCUAUAAAAACUUGAGUUAACAAUAAGAAAAGGAGGACGAAGUAGUAAAAAUAUUUGAGGUCAGAUUAUACUCUCUGAGACUAUGUGGUUUAGAGAAAAGAGCCUCAGCCUGAAAGUUGAUGGUUCUUAUUCUCUCUGCCUCUUCUAAAUGGGAAAAUCACUUAACUGCUCUGAGCCUUAAGUUCAUCUGAAAAGUAAAUCUGAUAGUAUUUUCCCUGCCUACCUCACAGGGUUGUUGUGAGGAUUAACUGAAGUUGUGUGCAUAAGAAGGACUGUUAGAUAAAAUGUGCAAUAUAGACAUACUUGCAAGUCAUCCCCUCAGCUUUUGGACCUGGGAAGGUAGGUGAUUUAAGCACACUGAAGGCACUAUGUCCAGGCUGGAUAUGUGGUAACAAGGCUGUGUUGAUUUUUGUUUUCUCUGAAUACAUAGAGUUCUCUUAGGGGCUAAUUCUAAGAAGGAGGACAACUAUAAAUAGCCCUAAAAUUAUAAGUUAGCAUUGAUAAUGUUCUAGAGCUGUUAUGUCUUGUAACAUAUUUGUGGUUUGCAAAAUUUGUUACUAAGCUGUGACCCACAUUAAAAAUAUUUUUUUAUUUAAA